UUUUUUAUAUUUUCGCGCAUUUUAGCGCCCGGUUUUUAUUCAUUUUAAUUCCUUUGUUUUUGUUUUUUUUAUCAAAAUGUUGAAAGAAAAAAAUAGAGACAAGUGUAUAAUCAUUUUAUUUUUAUUUGUCUUUAUUAAAAAAUAUUGAAUUUUAUUUGAAUUUAGUUUUUAACUCAUUUUUGUCAUCCAAGAAUAUAAAGAGGGUAUUAUGGGCAUUAAUGUAAAAAUGGAACCCUAGACUCAUACUAUAUAUACUUAAUAUAUUGUGGCUAGUGAGGGAAAG
RNAcentral lists this long non-coding RNA (283 nucleotides) under Lathyrus oleraceus (garden pea). RNAcentral describes it as "Pisum sativum (pea) long non-coding RNA (PSAT_LNC031668)". The record is from RNAcentral. Lineage: Eukaryota; Viridiplantae; Streptophyta; Magnoliopsida; Fabales; Fabaceae.